RNAcentral lists this long non-coding RNA (2465 nucleotides) under Homo sapiens (human). RNAcentral describes it as "non-protein coding lnc-C5orf49-5:2". The record is from RNAcentral. Lineage: Eukaryota; Metazoa; Chordata; Mammalia; Primates; Hominidae.
AUGUGACCCCAACCCCACCUCCCUCCCCACCCCAUGAUGUCCGAAAAAACCCAACAAAGAAAAUUGGCUGGGACCAAGAGAAAGUUCACAGACUAUCAUCAGUGGAACAGUGCUGGUGUUGGUACUGGAGCAACCGACACCAAAAAGAAGAAAAUAAAUAAUGGCACUAACCCUCAGACAACCACUUCUGGGGGGUUGCCAUUCACCUGAGGAUAAACAACAGAACCGAGCUCAGCUGAAAGAGGAAAAGAAGGCAAGCCACCAACAUCAGCAAGCCCUAAGGAGGCAGCUAGAGGCCCAGGAUCAUACCAUACGAAUCCUUAAGUGUCAGAAAACUGAACUGGAAACAGUGCUCCAUGACAGCCAGGAUGCUGCCAGGAAAUUUGAAGGUGGGAAUCUGGGCACCCCGUCAUCCUUCAACCUGGCACUUUCACAGGCCUUUGGGCUGCAGCUCAACCUCUCUCAUUCCAGAAGAUUCCAAGGAUCUGGCAGGCCGCCUGCAUCAUUCCUGGUACUUUGCAGGAGAGUUACAGCGGGCUCUCUCUGCUAUGUCCGCAGAGCACAAGAGGGUGGACAGGUACAUCGAGGAGUUAACAAAGGAGAGGGAAGCCCUGAGUCUGGAGCUGCACAGGAACAUCAUAACCAAUGAGGAGCUGAAGGAGAAAAAUGCCGAACUACAAGAAAAACUUCGACUGGUAGAAACUGAAAAGUCUGAGAUCCAGCUCCACAUCAAGGAGCUAAAAAGGAAACUGGAGACGGACAAAAUCCCGCUGCCACAGGUUCAAACCAACACUUUGCAGGAGAAGAUGUGGAGGCAGCAGGAGGAGCUACGGGAUCAGGAGAAGCUACGGAAGCACGAGGAGAAGAUGUGGAGACAGGAGCAGAGGCUGCGGGACCAGGAGAAGGAGCUGCGGGAGCAGGAGUAGCGGAUGCGAAAGCGGGAGCAGCAGAUGCGAAAGCGGGAGCAGCAGAUGCGGGAGCGGGAGCAGCAGAUGCGGGAGCGGGAGGAGCAGAUGCGGGAGCGGGAGGAGCAGAUGCGGGAGCGGGAGGAGCAGAUGGGGGAGCGGGAGGAGCAGAUGCGGAAGCGGGAGGAGCAGAUGCGGAAGCGGGAGGAGCAGAUGCGGAAGCGGGAGGAGCAGAUGGGGGAGCGGGAGGAGCAGAUGGGGGAGCGGGAGGAGCAGAUGCGGAAGCAGGAGGAGCAGAUGGGGAAGCAGGAGGAGCAGAUGCGGGAGCAGGAGGAGCAGGUGCGGAAGCAGGAGGAGCAGGUGCGGAAGCAGGAGGAGCAGGUGCGGAAGCAGGAGGAGCAGGUGCGGAAGCAGGAGGAGCAGGUGCGGAAGCAGGAGGAGCAGGUGCGGAAGCAGGAGGAGCAGGUGCGGAAGCAGGAGGAGCAGGUGCGGAAGCAGGAGGAGCAGGUGCGGAAGCAGGAGGAGCAGGUGCGGAAGCAGGAGGAGCAGGUGCGGAAGCAGGAGGAGCAGGUGCGGAAGCAGGAGGAGCAGGUGCGGAAGCAGGAGGAGCAGGUGCGGAAGCAGGAGGAGCAGGUGCGGAAGCAGGAGGAGCAGGUGCGGAAGCAGGAGGAGCAGACGGGGGAGCAGGAGGAGCAGAUGCGGAAGCAGGAGAAGCAGAUGCUGAAGCAGAAGAAGCAGAUGGGGAAGCAGGAGGAGCAGAUGGGGGAGCAGGAGGAGCAGAUGCGGAAGCAGGAGGAGCAGAUGCGGAAGCAGGAGGAGCAGAUGCGGAAGCAGGAGGAGCAGAUGCGGAAGCAGGAGGAGCAAAUGGCGGAGCAGGAGGAACAGAUGCAGAAGCAGGAGGAGCAGGUGCGAAAGCAGGAGGAGCAGGUGCGGAAGCAGGAAGAGCAGAUGCGGAAGCAGGAGGAGCAGAUGCGGAAGCAGGAGGAGCACAUGCGGAAGCAGGAGGAGCAGAUGCGGAAGCAGGAGAAGCAGAUGGGGGAGCAGGAGGAGCAGAUGCGGAAACAGAAAGAGCAGAUGCGGAAGCGGGAGGAGCAGGUGCGGAAGCGGGAGGAGCAGGUGCGGAAGCGGGAGGAGCAGAUGGGGGAGCAGGAGGAGCAGAUGCGGAAGCAGGUCGAGAGGCUGUGAUUCAAGGAGGAGAGGCUGUGGGUUGAGUAUGAGAAGAUGCAGGAGGAGGAGGAGAAGGUCCGGGGGCAGGUGGAGAAGAUGCGGGAGAAGAAGGAGAGGAUGGGAGAGCAGGAGGAGAAGAUGCAGGAGGAGCGGUGCUCAGAGCCCUGCCUCCCUCCCUCCAAAUAUCCUUGUGAUAUGAGCCAUGCUGGCAGCCUGAAGCCUGCACGAGAGGCUGGGAAGGGCUAUUCCCAUGACAACCGCACUGCACAGCAGAUCACGCAGCUGCCCCCUGGAAUGAAGAACACCCAGGAGCACCCAGGCUUAGGCAGCACCUCCUGCAUCCUAUUCUUCUACCGAGGAGACAAGAAAAAGAUCAAGAUCAUCAAUAUCUAA